CCCGCACAAGCGGUGGAGCAUGUGGUUUAAUCGACGCUACGCGAAGACCUUACCUGGGCUUGAACUGCUGGUGGUAGAAGCCCGAAAGGGUAACGACCCGGAGCAAUCCGGGAGCCAGUAGAGGUGCUGCAUGGCUGUCGUCAGCUCGUGUCGUGAGAUGUUGGGUUAAGUCCCGCAACGAGCGCAACCCUCGCCUCUAGUUGCCAGCAUUCGGUUGGGCACUCUAGAGGGACUGCCGGCGACAAGUCGGAGGAAGGUGGGGAUGACGUCAAAUCAUCAUGCCCCUUAUGACCUGGGCUACACACGUGCUACAAUGGGCGGUACAAAGGGUCGCGAACCCGCGAGGGGGAGCCAAUCCCAAAAAGCCGCUCUCAGUUCGGAUUGCAGGCUGCAACUCGCCUGCAUGAAGCCGGAAUCGCUAGUAAUCGCGGAUCAGCAUGCCCGCGGUCGAAUACGUUCCGGGCCUU
RNAcentral lists this ribosomal RNA (467 nucleotides) under uncultured Geobacillus sp. RNAcentral's name for it is "bacterial SSU rRNA". It matches the Rfam family "Bacterial small subunit ribosomal RNA", at positions 920 to 1382 of the family's 1533-position model. Lineage: Bacteria; Bacillati; Bacillota; Bacilli; Caryophanales; Anoxybacillaceae. The record is from RNAcentral.